This 1203-nucleotide long non-coding RNA is filed under the name Equus asinus (donkey). Its description in RNAcentral is "lncRNA (ENSEASG00005026018.1)". Lineage: Eukaryota; Metazoa; Chordata; Mammalia; Perissodactyla; Equidae. The record is from RNAcentral.
CGGCAGUCAGCUGGGCAGGAGGGCGGCCAGUCCCGGCCAGGAGCUGGUGCUGCGGCUGGGCCCUGUGCAAGAGAGGCGGGCCGACCUCGGCGGCAUCCGGUCUGCACUCCUUCCGUGGCCUGCGGCUCUUCUCAGAAAAACACCCACAGGCACCAGCACCAUGGGCUGCACACAAUUUUACACUCCCUCCCAACAAGCCCGUCUGCGGGCCCCUGGGGGUUAAGACGCUUCAUUUUACAGGAUGGAGAAACGAGGCUGAGACAGACUUGUCCAAGUCCCCCCAGUGUGUCAGGCGCUGGGCAAGGACUAAAGGCCAGAUGUCUGCGUGCACACAGUCAGCACUUGUCGAGCGCUUACUACCAACCAGGCACUGCGCAAGGAAAGUUCUUCCUCUGAAAACAGUUAAGCAUCUCCCUGUGAGGCCUCUCAAGCUGCACAACCCCCAGAUCACUGGCUGUUCCCCCUGGGCUGAAGGCUUCUGGUCUCCUGAACAAGCCCACACACAGAGCUGCACAGGCUGCCUCCACUCACCUCUCACUUCGCUUCCUCCUAGUCCAUGUGAAACAUUGGCAAACUGCCCAUGGCCACUUCUUUCCUGAAGGGACUCCAGAGGUUCAAAGUUAAAUUUAACACUUAAAAAGGCAGUAGGGAGAAUCUCAAGACCAGAAAAAAAUCUGCAAGCUGACGCUGCAAGACUCGUCAAGAAGCCAAAUGUCACAAGCACCUCCAUGGCUGGGAAAGCUAACUGCUUUCUUUAACACUCCCCAUGCUUUCUCAUUCUCCUGUAUUUCUCUUCUGUCUGGGGUCUUCAGGGGACCAUCCAUUUCCUUGCCACUUUCAGCAUCUGGAGGCCACCUGUAUUCCUUGGCUCAUCUCCCCUUCAAGGCAUCACUCCAACCUCUUGUGUCCAUCGUCACGUCUCCUGCUAUUGACUGAUCCUCCUGCCUCCCUCUUAGAAGGACCCUUGUGAUUACACUGGGACCAUCUGGAGGAUUCAGGAUAAUCUCUCUAUCUCAAGAUCUUUAAUUUAAUCACACCCGCAAAGUCUCUGUUACCAUGUAAGGUAACGUGUUCACAGGUUCUAGGAGCUCUGAUCUGGACCUCUUUGGGGGGCCGUUAUUCAGCCUACCACACUGGGUAAUGGGUACAUGGGGUUUGUUCUCUUUUUUUUAAAUAUGUUUGAAUAAAAAUUAUGAAAGAAAA